UACGAAGGGGGCUAGCGUUGUUCGGAUUUACUGGGCGUAAAGCGCACGUAGGCGGAUCGUUAAGUUAGGGGUGAAAUCCUGGAGCUCAACUCCAGAACUGCCUCUAAUACUGGCGAUCUAGAGUCCGGAAGAGGUGAGUGGAACUCCUAGUGUAGAGGUGGAAUUCGUAGAUAUUAGGAAGAACACCAGUGGCGAAGGCGGCUCACUGGUCCGGUACUGACGCUGAGGUGCGAAAGCGUGGGGAGCGAACAGG
This 253-nucleotide ribosomal RNA is filed under the name uncultured bacterium. RNAcentral describes it as "partial 16S ribosomal RNA". It matches the Rfam family "Bacterial small subunit ribosomal RNA", at positions 524 to 776 of the family's 1533-position model. The record is from RNAcentral.